CACUGAGGCGACAUGAGCUCACAAAGGCGGGAAAUCUGAAUAACUCCCUCGUAAUGAUAGAAGUACACCAUUACCAUUGCACUGGGUGGUAUGAAUGGGCGAUAUUCAAACACAUAUAAUAGAAUGCCUUUCAGUUCAACUUGCGUGUAAGAAAUGUAGACGGAAAGAGAGUUCGAGAACGACUGUUAAUCUGUGUAGUCUGUGACUUCUAAGCAGGGGAAGAAAUUAAACUUGCAGAUAUUUCAUUGGUGUUGUUAAAAACUCUUCCAUCAAAGAAUAUAUUGAUUAAACUUGACGAGUGCAGUGUGCAUUUUCGACAUGGAAGAUGCAGCAACAUAAUGGACUUGGAAAUAGAUGAUAAUUGUCUUCAGCAUAUCAGAGAAUGGAACCUAUAGAGAUGAACAUUCGGGACGAGAAUCUCUACUUUCUCCAGCCUUACGUCUAGAUCAUCAAUGUCCACUAAGCCCUAGAAGGUAGUCGUGACUCCCUAGUGCCCAUGAGACACUAGAGGGAGAAAGUUAUAUUCUAUGACGAUGACAACGACGUCGACGACCACGACGACUCUGGUUCAUUUCAGCUUUUGGUCAGCGAUGCAUCCGCAGUGGAUCGAGCAGGAUGUGGGAUCACCGUGGGAGGUUAUGCACUCAUGGCGCGCAGGGCUUAGGUGGAUAGCAAUACUAUUAUCGUAACAUUGUCGUUUACUGGUAGGGCUUGGAUGCUGGUGCUGAGACCCCCC
This 736-nucleotide long non-coding RNA is filed under the name Lytechinus variegatus (green sea urchin). RNAcentral's name for it is "uncharacterized LOC121411488, transcript variant X1". Lineage: Eukaryota; Metazoa; Echinodermata; Echinoidea; Temnopleuroida; Toxopneustidae. The record is from RNAcentral.